GAAGACAUGUCAUGAAGUGACGGGAACCUCAUAUGCUGACACCAUCAAAUCAAAUCUCUAGCAGGAGGAAACUGUCCAUUGCAGAAAAACUACUACAAUGAUCGAUAUGACCUUAGGAGAAGUCCUGCUUUUCAGUGCCAGCUACUGAAGUGGAUGGGGUAUUUUGGGGUUAUCGUUCAGAGACAUUUGCAGAACUGUCGCUCAUUUAUUGUGAAAUGGUAAAAUGUACAAACUGGUGGCUUGCAGGUCCAGCUUCGAGACCUUCUGUUUGGCUCAUUGCUUCUUAAAAUUUUGAACUACUUGCCAACAUUUUAAACAUUAGGUGAAGCUGGUUCUUUAGAAUUUAGGGAGCAUGAUUCAGCCAUAUGGAGGCCAACACCUGCUCAGAGCUAGAAGGCCAACCAGCCAUGUGCUCACGUCCACAACUGCAAUAAUGUCUUGUAUCAGUGUGUAACAUGAGACCAAGAAUGUGGGGGUCACUGUCAUCUCCCAUCCAUGCCUGCCUGCUACUAAAGCGCUGUAUACAGAGGCCAUAUGUGAAGAGCAGCACUGGCAUUCAAGAAAUGUUAAAUAAUAAUGUAAAUGAGAAAAAUUUCCAAUCCCAAUAAUAAAGGAUCCAAGGAACAUUGACGCAACUUGCAAUCAUCAGAGCUGUUUGAUCGCCUUGUCACUGUGGGAUAGUGACCAAAGUGAUGCUAAUCUAAAUGUCAUCUAGAAAGAAUGCUAAAAAUAUUGUGGUGAAAAUUAAGUACUGCAACCUUAGGAGCUGAUUUAAAAAUUAGAAGAUAUAGCAAUUUACAUCUGUGGAUUUUAUGAUCGCCAAGUGCAACCAGAUGAACGUACUCACAUUUUCCUUUUCUUUCCCUCUCUCUUUGAGAAAAUGGGUUCAGUUUUAAAGAGCUGGCUCAAACUAAUGUUCCCUCAAUCAGUGGUUCUUAAACAUUGUUACAUUUUAGAAUCACUUGAGGAGAUUUUUAAAACAUAAUACUUAGGCCAUAUCCCAGAUUAACUAAAUCAGAACCCCUGCAGGAGCCAAGACAUCAGCAUUUUUCAGGCUCUCCAAGUGAUUCCAAUCUGCACCAAGUUUGACAACCAAGGUGUUAAAUAAGUGGGAUCUGAAGAUCAAAUGCCUUAGAAUUACCUGGAAGGAACAGAUUAAAAGUGCAGCCCAGCUCCAUCUAAGACUGGCUGAAUAAAAUUAUUUGAUGAUGGAGCCUCCUACUCUCCAUUUUAACAAACUCCCCGUGUGAUUUAUAUGCACACUAGAGUGUGAGAACUACUGCACAAGUUGAAAGUCAGUGGUGCUAACUGUUAUGCCUUUAGACCCAGAAUAAGUCUGUGUAAAAGACAAAAAAAAAAAAAAAAUCCAAGUAAAAGGGAGAAAUUUCAGCCCAUCAUUUGGGACUUUGGUUUUGGGGGCUUUGUUUGCACGUGGCUGUCCUCUGCAUUGUAGGAAAUUCAGAAACAUUUCUAGCCUCUACCCACUAGAUGACAAUAGGACUAUCCUUCCCCAGUAUGACAAUCAAAAAUGUCUCCAGAUAUUGCCAAAUGUCCCUUAGGGGAAAAGAUCACCAUUAGUCAAGAACCACUAUUCUAAAAGACGCCAAACAUGUGGAUGGUUCUGUGUCUUUAAGUACUUGGAAUUAUGCCAGCAAACAUCUUCCUGAUUGACCAGAUGUGUCUACUUUUGAUUAGGCGUUUUGGAUUCACAUAGGCAUAGUUUUUCACAGAGAUGUGGCACAGGCUUCCAGAGAAGGUGGGGGAAACUGGGUCAUCAGCAUCUGAGCGGUCACUAACGAUUUCCAGCUGCAGCAGAGCAGGGCUCUGCCUCCACCUCUGGAGCUGCUGAGUUAUUAAUAGGUAAAAAAUUAAUAAAUUAGGUAAAAACCUAUUUUUUUAACCUAAUCUGAAGCUGGUUGUGAGAUGACAAUAGGAAUGGGCUCUAUCAUUCAGUUAAAUUUAGGUUAAAGGGUGGAAUUUUGUUUCCAUGAGUCAUGAAUUCCUUAAUAAUUUGGGUCAAAGAAUAGAUAAUGUCUCCACAUGAAAAUAGUGUUUAUUCUGGUGAAAGAGGUUAGGAAAAUGGUUUGUCCAAUACCAAAAGGCUGUUAGUGUUCAAAGGAGACUCUUCCCUCAGUGGUCUAAAUCUCCAGAUAGACUAUGGGUUCCUCUACAAGGCCAAAAUUACCAGGAGGGCCAAACUGAUUUUGGACAUUGUUAGGACAAAAAUGGAAAACUUUUUAAUUAAUUCAGAUGACUGCUAUAGUAUUUCACCUUGAAAUGUUGAAAUUCGUAUCAAAUGGCUGAAUCUGGCCUCUCACAUCAUACACAAGUGCUACUAUUGGUCAGGCAGUAAGGCAGAGAGGUUGUGAAUCUAAGCUCCAAAGUCAGAAUCUCCAUGUUUGAAUUAGGCUCACACACUUAUUUGCUAUGGAGCAAGUGACUGAACUUACCUGAGCCUCAAACUACUCAUCUGUUAGAUGAGGAUAAUAAUACUUAUCUCAUAGAGAUGUAAUAAGGAUAAAAUGAGAGAAUAUACGUAAACAUCACUUCACACAAUGCCUGGCAUAUAGCAAGCACUUAUUAAAUGGUAGUGAUUAUCUUUAUUUUAAUUAAACUUUACGAAAUCUGACAACGGAUGAUUUCAUUUGUUAUUAUAACCCAUAGAAGAUAAUUUCUGAUGUUGAUGGAAUAUUAAAGAUGUUAUGAUUCUAUGUGCCCAUUUUGCAGAUGAGAAAAUUGAGGCCCAGAAAUGAGAUAUGAUAAUCCUAGAUUUAUGCAGAAUAGGCUCUAAUACUCAGAUCUUUAGAAUCUACGUAUAGCGCAGAUAUAGUGCAAAGAGGAAGAGCUUUGGACUCAGAAUAUCUGGGUUUGCCACUUAAAUGUACAGAUAUUCAGUUUCAUUAUCUGCCAAAUGGAUAUAAAAAUAGGUAACCUGAAAAUGUUAUAGCAAAUGAGACAGACGAUAUGAAAGCACUUUGUAAACUGCAGAAUGCUCCACAACUGAUACUUAAUAUUAUGAUUUCUUCUUCAUUAAAAAAAUUCAACGCAAAUAGACCCAGAAACACACAUAAUCCUCUCAAAGUACCAUUCAAAAUCCUUUUGGAUAGUUUUUCAGGCACAGGAAAUAGGUCAGGCUUGAUCAAGUGUGGCCAUUUACUCUCUGCUCUGUUUCAAUGCCAAUCACACCAAAAGCAGCACCUUGGACAGCAGCCAGAGAGGCUUCCUUCCGGCGCCUAUGACAUUCUCUCCCUACUUUCUUACUGGCUGCCAGUAACCGUUGCCUUGUAGUCUGACCCUCACAGGGAAACACAAACAGAAACUCCACUUCAUCUUCAUCUUUACAUACUCCAGGCUCAGAAGAUGGUUGUGCACAUAGAAUCAGGGUUUUCUUUGACCUUCACUGUUCGACCUGUAUACACUGACAGCCUGCCACAUUCCCUAGGAAGUGAAAGCUGGCAUUUUCAUUUGGUCUCCCCGCAAGUGAACUCCGUAUAUUUCAGAACUUAGAAAUAUUCCAGUGAAUAAAUUCAUAUUGAAGCAUAAAGCAUACCUGCUUGUGAACUUUGUGUAGCUUGACAAUGCCAGGUCAGAGCAUCAGUUUCAAAACCUCAACAACAAAACUUUAAAAUGUCAAUGUUAAUUUGGGGCAAGAGUAGGGAAGAUGAAGAAAGACAUAAGGAUAACAUUAGAGGUAAUUGUAAAUCUAGUUUAAAACGGAAAAAAGCCACCAAUUUGCCAUUUUAUCAAUUCCUGAAGACAGCAUUCUCAAAAGACCCAGGAAACAGGAGAGGAUAAACAUAAUAUUAGAACUUAAAAGAGGCUUCAAAGUGACCUCAUUACGUAAGUGAUUCUGUGAGGAGCCACGAAUUUAGUGAUAGGCUUUAUUUUGUGUCUUUGUUAUAAAUCAUUAUUUGAAGAUAGAUUUCUUUCAUGAGAUAAAUGUGGAACUGAGGGGGAUUUGCUGAAAACGAUGAAGUUACUAUAAAUGUAUAGACUCAUCUAUGCCAACCCAUUUUAUUUGCUCUUUAAACAUAAUUUCAAAAUUAUAAAGCACAGGUUGCUUAUUAUGAAUGACUUGGUAAGGUACCAGGCUCCUCACUAGAUGCCACUAAAAAAAGCAAUCUGACUCAUGAUUCUAUUUACAUACUGCUCAAUUAGUUUUUUCAAUAUGAACAUGUUUUAAGAGUCACUAGACACCUGACUCAAAUUCAGUCCUAAUACAUGGUAUUUUUGCCCAUUGCUAGGAUUUUUUUUUAAAGUGUGCCAUUGAAAAACCUUAAAGAAGCAGAGACUCCAAAGCUUGCUGUUUGUUAAAGUGGAAGUUGUGGUCUGGAUGAGGGGAUAAGGCAAGGAAGGUCACAGACAUUGAAAAACACAAGCCAAUAUACACGUAACU
Molecule: long non-coding RNA, 4396 nt
Organism: Equus caballus (horse)
Lineage: Eukaryota; Metazoa; Chordata; Mammalia; Perissodactyla; Equidae
Source: RefSeq, a predicted model, not a curated record